GUGUGCUAAUUUGGCAGAGCGCCAUAGGUUUUCAUCAGCAGCUGUUCCCACCCCACCAGCUCACCUGAUGCUCUUUGGAGGGAUCCCGAUCCUGAUCCGCGUGGGGGGUCAGGCUCGCUGGUGCAGCCCUCCACGUCUCUCCCCUCCAUCCCUCCUCCCAGAGCUCCUGCCUUGUCUUCACCUCCAUUCUCUCCACUGCUGGGACAGCGCACAGGGACUAUCAGCCUAGAGACACUCCCCUUGGGUACACUCCAGGGUACAGGAUUUAUACCCGAUGAAUUACCAGACGAAAGCGCCUUUGUUUUCGAGAAGGCCCCGGGACAUCCACGGGCUGAAGUAGAGCCCAAUUCCCGACAGCAAGGCGCGGGAGAGGCGGCGGUAAGACUCGGGGCGCACAGAGCACGAGCUCCCCUCACCCCUGGUGCCAGCAUGGUGUGCGAACUCUUCCUGUUAUCGUCCGUCUGGUUCCUCUUCGUGAUCUUCUGGAUGGAGACCAUCAGCGUCUGGCUGUUCCUCUGCAAUUUUUACCAGGAUAGGGCCUUCUAUCACGUGGGUGUGGGGGUGUUUGCAGAUGACCCCGGGCACAUGCUGUACGUGCUGGGCAGGGUGGAGGGAUCGGGACAAACGCCAACAUGAAGAGAAGGAGAGAAAGGAGGACGAGGGAGCGCGCGUCUGCUUUGUACAUAAACCGAACCCCUCCUGCUGCCUGCAUCACACCGCCCAGCCUGCCCCGUGACUGGGGGCUUCACCCUUGUCGAAGGAGUUGGGAGAUGCUGUUAUAGAGGGGCGAAUUUGAUGGAAAUUGUCAACUAGUUGGGGAUGUUGUGUGAGCCAUAGCAUCAGCAGUAUCCAUGUCUGGCCAUCUCUCUCUCUGUUCCACCACUGGUCUUGCAGGUGUUGUUCCAGCUGUUCGGUUUUGCCCUUUGGUGGGGAGGGGUGGGUGCCCUUAACAACCCUUCUUGUCUUUUGUGUUUGGAUGAGAUGCAUGCAAGAUCGAUUCAUCUCUGGUUUGGCAAGCUGUUGGCUCCACCGGUACUUCUUAGGCACGUUACUGACUUUUUUAAUGAACUUGAUUGAAAAAUAUGAAAUGAACUUGUGCCUCAGUAGGACAAUGUGGUGAAGAACCUGCAGCCUGUUUCAUCCUAAAUGAAUUGUUCUGCUUGCCGAGAGUCUGGUUUUCCUGACAUUUAUAGUUAAUGCACAUCUUGCAUCUCUCCUACAAAUGUUUUCAGUCAAAACUUUCCUGCCACAAUCCUUUAAACACGUGGGAGAAUUUGUUUAUGCCUUGAAAGCUUUCCCGUGUUGUUUGGCAGUAGAUGAAGAUAAACCGAACAGUGCAAAAAAAUAUAUAUACUUUAAGUUUUCUUAGAAUCUAGUCUUUAUUCUCCAUGUCAAAGGGUUUAGACUGAUGCUCCAACGUUGAUUUGAGUUAUGAGACCAGAACAGUGUUGUUACUGAGCCUGUUUUCAUAGGGCUCCCUGACCCGAGGAAGUGGGGCUUCAUUCAUUAAUAGGCAUCUCUUAAAGGGUCUUCUUUCUCCCUGUGUUUUUAUGUGGGAUCUGUGCUUUUUGACUAAAAAUCGAAAUGGCCGAGCUCCUGACCUUAUCCAUAUUGUAAAACUGAUGUAUUUGGAAGAGGAGCAUUUUGGACAAUUUACAGUUACGGUUUUCCCAUAAACAUUUUAGAUGAGAAAUUUAAGACCCAGAUUGGUAUCCUUAAGAUGGUGAGACGUAUGUACCAGGGGUCUCCAACUCUGGGCUUGGAAAGCCCUGGCUCACAGAUUUUAUAUGGAACCUCUAAGGUGUCUAUUUCUGAUGAUUUGGGACACUUUUAACUGUGAUCAUUAAAAGGAUGCUUUGUUAGAUUACCUAAUUUGGAGGUAGUUUUGGGACAAUUUGCAACACCCUGUGAAAUUAGAGUUCAAAAACUGGUGGCCUAUAAUGUUUGAUUGGGGAUCCAGACCAAGAGCUGGAAACAUGCUAUACAGUGUGUCUCUCCAUAAACAUCUGUCUUCUCUGUGAUGCCUUCCUCAUGUCUUUUUGCUUUGAACUGCUUUGUAUCACUAUUAAAUUGUUUAACUGCAUAACUUGCUCUCCGUCAAGUCAGAAGGUGGAGUACCGAAGUUGGAGCGCUCUAGUUAGGAGGAUUGACGUAUUCCAGUUGUUUUCUGAUUUUUUUUUUCUUUAUACUCGAGCAACAUUUUGACUCAUUCGCGGUGACUGACGGCUUGUGUGCAGGCGCUGACACGUCCACCCCAGUCCUUGGGUAAGCAGCAGCGGCCUCUGAGACGCACGCUGAGCUCUGACAGAGAAGCUGUGCUGGUUGCUUUGCAGAGAGUGGAGCUCCUCGAUCUUGGCAGGGGUGCACAUUGAGCCUGGAAGUGGGUUUUUCCUUUUUGAAGUGUGGAUGAAGUACGGGUGAACGUGCUCUUUUACAGUGAAUUUGAAGUAGGUGUUUAGAAUUUUGGAAUGCCAUUUUUUUUUGUUCCCGUCACAUCUAUGUUUCCAUCUCAUUGAAGAUAAAAAGACUUGGCGGUUGUGAAUAAAGGUGGAGGGAUUUUUGUCAUGGUUGGUGCUGCUGUAUGUGAGGUGGUCAGGCAGGGUCUUGCUGUGGCAACACAUACGGCGUCAGGUUUUGCUUCCUUCUGGGAUUGCUGGACAGAUUCCAGUGUGUCUCUGCAGGUUUUCACCUCUGCUUGUAAUAACCCAGCCGAGCUGGUCGUUGGCAAAACUGGACCAGUUGAACGCUUUUCAAAGGUUUUGCAGCAGUUGAUGAUUUAAAGAGACCUAGAAAACCAUUGGAUGCUAGCUGUCACGGACUGGAGUUGUGCUCCAAAGGAAUAGAACAGGGUAGUCUGCUCCUGGACCCGGCUACUGUCAUUCCCAUGUUUUCAAUCUAGUUUUCAGUCUUCUGCUGGCUACUGGCUCAUUUGGUCCAAUUCCCCAGCAUCUCUCUGCUUUUCAGGUGCUGCUAGUGUGAACAAAAUCUGCAGAUAGAGCGCCCCCUAUAGGACCAAGGCUGGCCAGGCCUGCCCUAGUGCAACCAAAUGAGAUGUCCUACUUGGCCACCAGGUGGAGACAAGGCAGUAGACUGGAGAACUCAAUGGCGUGCUUGAAAAGUAAUCUGUUUCAAGGGCUUUGUGAUAAAGUGCUAUAUGAAUGCAAGGAAUUAUAAGGUUGUUUGCUCUAAAUUGUUUUGAGGCUUUAAACUUGAUGAGCUGUAUAGUUACAGUUCAUUUCGCUAAAAUGCGUGGGACUGUGUAGUUAUAAAUAUUUUUUUAGUACGGACAGAUUCCUGAAGGUAUCAUGUAAAAUAAAGACUGCAGAAUUAAAUUUUAAAUGCAACUUGGGUAUAAUCAAAAAAAUAAGACCAAGUUGAAGUAUUACAUUACCUUGCCAAUUUUAACUAGUACUUUUGCAAGUUCAUGAUCGAACACUAGAGGGCAGAGCAGAUCUCAAGACCUGGGUUAGGGACAGUCACUGGUGCUUAUUUUAUGUUCUUGGGUAACUGAAUGUUUUGUUACUUAAUCCGUUUCAAUUCCACUUUUAAAUGUUAUGGAUGAUUUAAUGAAACGACAGAGGUUGCAAAACAACCCAUGUGCCCUGUAAUCUUAUUUUUGACUGUUCUGUAUUUACUAUUGUUUCAACUGGUGAGCAUUUUACCCUCUUCAAAAAUAAAGUAUAGUUGUACUGUAAAAUGAAUUGAUUGUGUACAACAUCAAUAUGAAUUAUUAAUAUUGCAGGUUGUCAGGGUGCUGAACUGGAAUAGCAGGCUUUUGGACUGUAGACCAAUUUGUUACUGAAUACUCCAAGGAAUUAUUCAAAUUCAAUUGAAAUGCUUUAUUUUGUAUAGUACAAUUUUUCCUGUUGGUGACCUAACAAUUCUUUUUAAUAAUUUGGCUAAAUCUUUAAAAGCAAAUACUGCAUUAAGUGGACUUUUGGUAGUACAGUAUUUUGCCCUGUAUGAUUUAAGUAUUUUAACUGUUAUAGUUCAGGUGGGCAGGUGCGUUGGGACGGGUUGUUCGGCGGGGGACCAGGGAUUGGUUUUUUUCG
This is a long non-coding RNA of Lepisosteus oculatus (spotted gar), 4052 nucleotides long. The record is from Ensembl. NCBI's taxonomy places the organism in Eukaryota, Metazoa, Chordata, Actinopteri, Semionotiformes, Lepisosteidae.